Long non-coding RNA from Hemicordylus capensis (graceful crag lizard), 1479 nucleotides. RefSeq lists it as uncharacterized. NCBI's taxonomy places the organism in Eukaryota, Metazoa, Chordata, Lepidosauria, Squamata, Cordylidae. The record is from RefSeq and is a predicted model, not a curated record. The transcript has 3 exons.
UGUAGCCAACAAGAGCCCUGACCCUUCUUGGAUUUGCAAGCUAACCCUACCCUAGAGGAAGCACCUGAGCUAUCCACUCCUCCUCCUUCUAAGUAGAUGCAACAGGUGGGAAGCUCUGAGCAACCAGAGGAACACUCCAACUUCGGAGCUCCAGGCAACUGGCUCUGGUUGCUCUGGAUAUGAGGGAUCAGGAGGGCUGUCACUGGGAUUGGGGAUGCAGACUGAGGUGAACUCCCCCUCUUAUUCUGGGUCAGAGUCUGAGCAAAUCCCAACAGGAGUCAGCAUGCCAGCACAAGGUGAAUGAUGGACAUAAUGUGAGCUCAGUCCUUCUCCUGUCUCCCAUACAAGAGAAGACAAAUCCAUUCUUCCAGGUUUCCAGGAGCAUCAGGGAAGGCAGAAGAGUUUAUUGAGGCAGUUCACAGCAGAUUUGACUGUCAUUUGACUGUCUAGGAGCUCACUAGACAGUCUUUCAUGAAGAAAAGUUUGCUUAUGGUUAAGCCAACUUGGAUCACAGGAGAUUAAACAAACUUCAAAAUAAAAAAGGAACAGGAACAAAGAAAAAAACAAAAACAAGCCGUCAUCGUGAUGAGCUUUAAAAGAAGUUGGAAGGCUGAGCAAAUGUGUCAAACCUGUUAUUACUGGGAUUUCGCAAAAGGAUUUCAAAAUACGGUGCUUAUGUUUAAAAAAAAGCUUCUCAGGUGCGUGAACGUGCACCAGCAGGUGGAUAAUGAAAAUCAGUGGAAGAACAUAAGUGACACACUCAAAUGUACUUUCCCUGUCUUCUCAUAUCACAGGUAUAUAAAAAUAUAGUUGUUCUGUUCUUAGUUUGGGAAAUGUAUUUUUGGUCAUGUUUACGCCUUUCUCCUUGCUGUGUGAAAAACCCUAGUCUGCAAAACACUGAAAGCCUCCUGCAAGGUGAUAUGACAUUCUGUGCUCAUUACUGCAAGUUUCUAUAUACACAGGUGUGGGUAGAAAGAUUUUUUUUAAAUGGAUAACUAAUCUCAGUGGGAACUGAGGAUCCUUUGGUUCUUAAGGCAGGGGUGAGGGCAGAAAGGAGAGGUGGGGGAGACAUGAAAUAUGGGAUAGAGAAAGCAACAGAAAUAUUUGCCAAUUCAUUGUCUCAACUCAUGAACCCAAAGAGGUUUAACACCAUAUGCCUUAGUCUUGGAUAAGAUCUGUCCAGAGGUCAGAAUCUAGAUCUCCCUCUCCCAACUGGUUGCAGUAUAUGCUUUCAUGUCCAGAGUAUGAUCUGAAUCCAAAUUAGACAAAAUAGUUGCUCUAUCUAAGGAGUUACUUAGAACCCACACCUAAGUCCUCAAAUGUUUUGUUAUUGAGUGACCAUGCUGUACGGUGUAUAUAUUUACGAUUAGGUGUGUCAUGCAUGACUAGUUUUUAUGAAUAGGUUGUGAUAUAGUUUUUUAAUAUAUUUGUGUCUACUAUGAGAUGUGAUAGUAUUAAAACAUUUAUGGAUUAGUAGUA